GACGAACGCUGGCGGCGUGCCUAAUACAUGCAAGUAGAACGCAGUUGCGAACGGGUGAGUAACGCGUAGGUAACUGCCUCAUAGCGGGGGAUCACUAUUGGAAACGAUAGCUAAUACCGCAUACUGUGAGAUGGACCUGCGUUGUAUUAGCUUGUUGGUGAGGUAAAGGCUCACCAAGGCGACGAUACAUAGCCGACCUGGGAGGUAGGACGGCCACAAGUGGACUGGGAAACGGCCCAGGCUCCUACGGGAGGCAGCCGUAGGGAAUCUUCGGCCAUGGACGGAAGUCCUACCGAGCAACGCCGCGGGAGUGAAGAAGGGCUUCGGAUCGUAAAGCUCUGUUCUUAGAGGAGCGGUACCUAACCAGAAAGGGACGGCUAACUCCGUGCCAGCAGCCGCGGUAAUUC
Molecule: ribosomal RNA, 407 nt
Filed under: uncultured bacterium
Lineage: Bacteria
Description: partial 16S ribosomal RNA
Rfam family: Bacterial small subunit ribosomal RNA
Source: RNAcentral